GUGAAUGGUGAAAUCACUCUUUGAGUAGAUGGGAUGCAUGAAAUAAUAAAUUGCGCUCAGAUCUGAUACAAUACGAGGGGGAAUUGGAGAUUGAGAAAAAACGAGACUUGGUGAAAAUGAUUCAAAAAGAGAAGUGUACACAUCACAUGCAGACUCAAACACAGUAUAUCAAAAAAAGAUUUCAAAGUUCAAACAGCUGUGAAUCCAUAUAAUACGUCUUCCUGCUAAUUAAAAUUAUGAAAUGACUUGAAACUGUGAAUCCAAAUAUGUCAAUAAAGAUUAAUUACUGAUUUGAAAGGAGAUAAAUGUAACACGUGGUUUGUUUGUUUCAUUACCAAAAACUUGUAUAUGGUUCUCAUUCCAGUCCCUUAAAGUAUUACAACCAAUGUCGAUUCUUUCUAUUAUCCCCCUUAGUGAGAUCCAUCAAAUAUGCCAACCACACAUUCAAUUACCUCUCACCUACUAAAGAGAUUGAAAUACAAUUCUAAUUCAUUUACUGUAUAUAGUAAAUUUUUAGGCCCCAUAAGCAAAAAUGAGCAUUUGGUGGGUGUAAUUUAUAACUAUUCCAUCAACCUCUUGUCAAUCCCCAUCAAAAUAUCCAUUAACGUUUUCCUUAUCUUUUGAACUUCAAUUGUAUACUGAAUGAACAUGUCAAGGUUAGGGUCCUUAUACAGGAGCAUUAAUCAGUAUCCCUGUUUUUCUGUCUUUGAAAUCAUUGCGCACUCCAUUUAAUAGCUAGCCCUCUCAAUAACAGCAGUAGAUGUCCAAGUUUGACAGAACACCAUUUUUAACACCUUAGCAAGGUUCACAAGUCAGUCCUAUGUAAAUAUCCCAACAAAAUAUCCUAGAAUCCCUUUACUGAUUGGUUUGUAAAGACUAGUAAGGUUGCACAAGUUUGUUCACUGGAGAUGCAUACAUUAGAUGCAAUGCAACCAAGAUUAAUUAGAAGUAAAUACAACUCUCAAAAUCCAAAUUGUAACAGAACAUAUCAAGUAUGAAUCUUAUCAUAGCCACACAGCUUCAACAAGGAAAUCGAGGUGUACAAGUGGUUAUCAAAGUUGUAAGUAUUAUAGAAAAGUAAGUCUUCUGAAGACCUAGUAAACUCAGUAUACCCUGUAACCCUGAUAAGAUUAACGUACCUGUAGCCAUUGCAGUAGAUAAACAUUUUCUGACUCAUUCUUCUUCUUCUUAGCUUUCAUUUCACUGACUCCAAAUUGGCGAUUUGAAAAUCCAUGGCUUAUGGCCCAAUAUGUGGGAUGGAAGCUAACCACUAUUCCAAUCUCCUGCUUCCAUCCCAUAGGUUGGGCCCAGGCGAUGGAUUGUGAAAUCGUCCGUUGGGUUGUUUGGAAUGCAUGGAAGAUUAGGUACAAAUAGAAGUAUUCCAAUGCAGAGGCAGUUCUUCAAACGAGCACGAGAGGAAGGGAAACUCUUCGACAAAAUGGGACCUGGAUGAAUAUGAAACAAAGGAAGGUGGAGAAAUGUACAGAGAGUCAAAUAAGAGUUGAAACUGUGAAUCCAAUUUGGAUUUUCCAAGUAUGUGAAAAAAAGAUUAAUAACAGAUUAUAAUAGAGAUAAAACUAAAUAUAGUUUUGAUUCCAGUCUUGUUAUUCAAAUUUUCCAUCAAAGAUACCAAUCACUUGAAGCUUUCAAGUUUCAACCACCACUCACACCAAAGAGAUUGAAUCACACAUUCAAGCACCUACUCACUUACUAAAGAGAUUGAAAUACUUUGGUGAUUCAUCACUAUAAUGUUGAGUUAAUUCACUUUUUUUUUCCCUUAAAAUUUGACUCGUAUUUGUAAUUAUUUAUGAUGAUGACAAUUAAAACAACCCAAUACCAAAUUUUAGAAAAACAAAAUUAAUGCAAUUUCACUGCUUACUGCUUUUCAAGAUCAAUUCCCCUUCAUAUCAGAAUUUCAUUACAAUAAAGGUUAAAACUUGGAAGCUAACUGAGCUGUGUGUCUGAAAAAAAAAAAAACAAAGAGUGAAUGAGAUGCAAGAAAACUACAACCUGUUAAUUGAUGUCUGGAACCCAGAUUGAUUGAUUGAUUAGAAGCAAAUGGAAAAAAAAAACCCAGAAAGUAUAAAGUAUGAAUCAUUCAUACCAUAGCUGACUAGUUAAAAAAAAAAAAAAAAAAAAAAAAAUUCAUACCAUAGCUGAAGCCAUAAAGAUGUAUAUAAACGCUUUUUGGACUCAUUCUUCUUCUUGUUGUUGUUGUGUAGCUUUCAUUUCACUAUGAGAGUCCAAAUCGGAGAUUUUUCACUGCACCGAUUUUGGCCAAACAUGUGCAUGGGAUGGAAGGAAGCCAUAGCCAUAGGCAUCCACUGAUCAUCCCAUGCAUAUACUAGGUUCGGCCAAAGCGAUGCAGUGUAAAAUCGUCCUUUGGGUAGUAUGGUCUGUGAUGUAUCAUGCAAUGAGAUAAGCGAUCGAGGUGCACUUCAGAAUUUUAAUGUGUGAUUCAAUCUGUUUGGUAUGGGGUAGUUGUG
This 2486-nucleotide long non-coding RNA is filed under the name Aquilegia coerulea. RNAcentral describes it as "long non-coding RNA (ACOE_LNC000051)". The record is from RNAcentral. Lineage: Eukaryota; Viridiplantae; Streptophyta; Magnoliopsida; Ranunculales; Ranunculaceae.